AUUGAACGCAGGCGGCAUGCCUUACACAUGCAAGGCGAACGGUAACAGGUCUUCGGAUGCUGACGAGUGGCGAACGGGUGAGUAAUACAUCGGAACGUGCCUAGUAGUGGGGGAUAACUACUCGAAAGAGUGGCUAAUACCGCAUGAGAUCUACGGAUGAAAGCAGGGGAUCGCAAGACCUUGUGCUACUAGAGCGGCCGAUGGCAGAUUAGGUGGUUGGUGGGAUAAAAGCUUACCAAGCCGACGAUCUGUAGCUGGUCUGAGAGGACGAUCAGCCACACUGGGACUGAGACACGGCCCAGACUCCUACGGGAGGCAGCAGUGGGGAAUUUUGGACAAUGGGCGAAAGCCUGAUCCAGCAAUGCCGCGUGCAGGAUGAAGGCCUUCGGGUUGUAAACUGCUUUUGUACGGAACGAAAAGCCCCGGGUUAAUACCCUGGGGUCAUGACGGUACCGUAAGAAUAAGCACCGGCUAACUACGUGCCAGCCGCCGCAGUAA
This 498-nucleotide ribosomal RNA is filed under the name uncultured bacterium. RNAcentral's name for it is "partial 16S ribosomal RNA". It matches the Rfam family "Bacterial small subunit ribosomal RNA", at positions 30 to 523 of the family's 1533-position model. The record is from RNAcentral.